GACCUCCGUGGAUGGCGUAUGAGGAGCCAUGCAUAUCCUCAUACAUAUAUAAUUAUGUUUUGGUACCAAUUGAAUUGUGUUGAUGAGCUUGUUUUGUAGAAGUCUCUGUUCAUUGCCUCAUCAUGUGUAGAAGAGAUUAGAGGUACCUCACGAAUCCAUCAUAUGCUUUUUUCUUGU
RNAcentral lists this non-coding RNA (177 nucleotides) under Arabidopsis thaliana (thale cress). Lineage: Eukaryota; Viridiplantae; Streptophyta; Magnoliopsida; Brassicales; Brassicaceae. The record is from RNAcentral.